Molecule: long non-coding RNA, 1254 nt
Organism: Cyprinus carpio (common carp)
Lineage: Eukaryota; Metazoa; Chordata; Actinopteri; Cypriniformes; Cyprinidae
Source: Ensembl
AUGGGAGCAGAAGAGCAAGAGGCCCCAGGAGGGGCGACCCAGAGAGAGGUAGCUGCUUUCUGGGGGAUGGUGAAAGCACCUCUCCCGCCCCUGGAGGAGGGCCGGGUGGAGAACCUGGAAAUCUCGACGAAAGAGCGGUUUUCUGUAUCUCUGGGUCCCAGGAGGGCACGGAGAGUUGCGGACGGCCAAGCAACGGACCUCACUCAUCCUCCACCUUCGCCAGAUGGAAGCAGCGGGCGGUUCGAGAGCGUCAACAAAGGCCCUACUCACGCACCCUCUGCCAACCUGUGGAACCAGGUGAACCUUGCACCCCACACUCACACCCAUCUUCGGUCUUUUCACAAGCCGCCCGAGUUGGGUCCCUGUGUUCCACCUUGCUGCCCCACUGUGGGUACGGCUGUGGUUCCGCUGGUCCCGUUUGUACGGUUUCUAAGCACCUGGUCAGCGCUACCCAGCCCAUCUCGCUGGCUUCUGCGGACCAUCAGCCUCGGCUAUGCGAUUCAGUUUGCCCAGCGUCCCCCCAAAUUCAGCGGUAUCCACCUCACUACAGUGAAAGCGUCCAAUGCCCCUGUUCUGCGGGUACUGGCGGAGGACGUGAUAGAGCUGGUCCCUCCAGCCGAUAUGAGGAUGGUGUUUUACAGCCCUUACUUCAUUGUACCCAAGAAAGGCAGUGGGUUUCUGCUCCUGCUUGCACUGGCCUCCAUCAAGAGGGUAGGGGACCUGCACGCAUUUUCAGUUGAUGAUUCGUGCCUGGAGUUUGGGCUGGCUGACUCCCAGGAAAUCCUGAGGCCCCGGCCCAGCAACGUGCCCAAGGUUCCCACUACACCCUUCAAAGACCAAGUGGUGAACCUGCAAGCACUGUCCCUGGAGGAGGUAGACCCAGCCCUGGCUUUGCUCUGUCCCAUCCGAGCAUUGAGAUGCUACGUAGACCAAACACAAAGCUUCAGGACCUCAGACCAGCUCUUUGUCUGUUACGGAGGCCGGCAGCAGGGGAAUGCCGUCUCUAAGCAGAGGAUGGCCCACUGGAUUGAGGAUGCCAUAACCCUGGCUUAUCAGGCACAGGGUGUGCCCUGCCCAUUCAGGUUGCGAACUCACUCAACUAGAAGUGUUGCAUCCUCCUGGGCGCUGGCUCGUGGCGCCUUGGUGACAGAUAUUUGUAGAGCUGCGGGCUGGGCGACCCCUAACACGUCCGCUAGGUUCUAUAGCCUUCGUGUAGAGCCGGUAUCCUCCUGUGUUCGCACCUCAAACGGGUAG